This 547-nucleotide unclassified non-coding RNA is filed under the name Hevea brasiliensis (rubber tree). Lineage: Eukaryota; Viridiplantae; Streptophyta; Magnoliopsida; Malpighiales; Euphorbiaceae. The record is from RNAcentral.
AGGAAAGCACAGCAUUGGUGUUCUCUUUUGGAUCUUAGCAAGGAUGGUACUACAGAUGCGUGGUACCAUUAGUCCUGGACCCAAGUGGGAUGUCAUGGUGGAUCUCUUCUUUUACAGAGAGCCUGAAGAGGCAAAAGAGCAACAAGAUGAGGAAGUACCUGCUAUUGCUGAUUAUGCAGAAUAUGGUGGCGCUGCUCUUGGUGGUGAUUGGACUAGCAGCCAAAUCCCUGAUGCCCAAUGGGCUGCAGAUGGUGCAACAUCUGUUCCUGCAGCUACUGGUGACUGGUCUGGAGAUGCAGUGGUUGAGGGAGGUUGGGAUGCUGCAGCUGCUCCUCCUGCUGGUGUACCAGAAGUGACCCCUGCUCCAGCUGCUGCUACUGGCUGGGAAUGAACUUGACUCCUUCAGAGAGUUCUUUUUUGUUAAUUUAGAUGUGAGUUCUUGUUACAGACGGUUUUGUUUACAAUGCAAUUUAUAAAAAUUUUGGACUUGUUGAUGUACGAAAUUAUUUUUAAUCAUUUAUAGCAUGUCUUUUUAGUGAAACCUUUU